This 497-nucleotide ribosomal RNA is filed under the name uncultured bacterium. RNAcentral's name for it is "partial 16S ribosomal RNA". It matches the Rfam family "Bacterial small subunit ribosomal RNA", at positions 28 to 507 of the family's 1533-position model. The record is from RNAcentral.
GAUGAACGCUGGCGGCGUGCCUAAUACAUGCAAGUCGAGCGAACAGACGAGGAGCUUGCUCCUCUGACGUUAGCGGCGGACGGGUGAGUAACACGUGGAUAACCUACCUAUAAGACUGGGAUAACUUCGGGAAACCGGAGCUAAUACCGGAUAAUAUAUUGAACCGCAUGGUUCAAUAGUGAAAGACGGUUUUCCUGUCACUUAUAGAUGGAUCCGCGCCGCAUUAGCUAGUUGGUACGGUAACGGCUUACCAAGGCAACGAUGCGUAGCCGACCUGAGAGGGUGAUCGGCCACACUGGAACUGAGACACGGUCCAGACUCCUACGGGAGGCAGCAGUAGGGAAUCUUCCGCAAUGGGCGAAAGCCUGACGGAGCAACGCCGCGUGAGUGAUGAAGGUCUUCGGAUCGUAAAACUCUGUUAUUAGGGAAGAACAAAUGUGUAAGUAACUAUGCACGUCUUGACGGUACCUAAUCAGAAAGCCACGGCUAACUACGUG